This 369-nucleotide ribosomal RNA is filed under the name Comamonas testosteroni. RNAcentral describes it as "bacterial SSU rRNA". It matches the Rfam family "Bacterial small subunit ribosomal RNA", at positions 19 to 392 of the family's 1533-position model. Lineage: Bacteria; Pseudomonadati; Pseudomonadota; Betaproteobacteria; Burkholderiales; Comamonadaceae. The record is from RNAcentral.
CUGGCUCAGAUUGAACGCUGGCGGCAUGCUUUACACAUGCAAGUCGAACGGUAACAGGUCUUCGGAUGCUGACGAGUGGCGAACGGGUGAGUAAUACAUCGGAACGUGCCUAGUAGUGGGGGAUAACUACUCGAAAGAGUAGCUAAUACCGCAUGAGAUCUACGGAUGAAAGCAGGGGACCUUCGGGCCUUGUGCUACUAGAGCGGCUGAUGGCAGAUUAGGUAGUUGGUGGGGUAAAGGCUUACCAAGCCUGCGAUCUGUAGCUGGUCUGAGAGGACGACCAGCCACACUGGGACUGAGACACGGCCCAGACUCCUACGGGAGGCAGCAGUGGGGAAUUUUGGACAAUGGGCGAAAGCCUGAUCCAGC